ACAUUAUCCUCCCCAGACCCCACUUUGUGGAACUUUACUAGGUUAUAUAUGACUAGGGAAGGCUAGGGAGCACUUUUGGAGUCAAAAAAAUGAAGAAAGAGAGGCCAACCGUGAAAUGUCCCAAGUGAACCACGCAAAAAUAGGCUGAAGAAUCAGAAAAAUGACUCUGCCGCGGUUCCACCGCGACCGCGGCAGAACCGCGGUGAAGGAUGCUCGCGGAUAGAAGGAGAUUCAGAGGAGUUUUUUGGCCGCGUUUCCACCGCGACCGCGGCAGAACCGCGGCAGGCGCGAGAAAAGUGCAGGGACUAAAGUGCAAACACGGGAUUUUUAGCCCUAAAACCUAUUUUAAACAUUAGACUUCGCCCAAGAGAGGCAUGUAUUAUUUUGGAGAGUAUCUUGGCAAGAAAAACAAUUGUGAGAGAUCACCCAAAACAUCUUUCUUCUUUUCUUUGCUUUUGAUUGCUUGUUUAUGAUG
Long non-coding RNA from Nicotiana tabacum (common tobacco), 475 nucleotides. RefSeq lists it as uncharacterized. Lineage: Eukaryota; Viridiplantae; Streptophyta; Magnoliopsida; Solanales; Solanaceae. The record is from RefSeq and is a predicted model, not a curated record.